This 489-nucleotide ribosomal RNA is filed under the name uncultured bacterium. RNAcentral's name for it is "partial 16S ribosomal RNA". It matches the Rfam family "Bacterial small subunit ribosomal RNA", at positions 30 to 506 of the family's 1533-position model. The record is from RNAcentral.
AUUGAACGCUGGCGGCAGGCCUAACACAUGCAAGUCGAACGGUAACAGGAAGCAGCUUGCUGCUUCGCUGACGAGUGGCGGACGGGUGAGUAAUGUCUGGGAAGCUGCCUGAUGGAGGGGGAUAACUACUGGAAACGGUAGCUAAUACCGCAUAAUGUCGCAAGACCAAAGAGGGGGACCUUCGGGCCUCUUGCCAUCGGAUGUGCCCAGAUGGGAUUAGCUUGUUGGUGGGGUAACGGCUCACCAAGGCGACGAUCCCUAGCUGGUCUGAGAGGAUGACCAGCCACACUGGAACUGAGACACGGUCCAGACUCCUACGGGAGGCAGCAGUGGGGAAUAUUGCACAAUGGGCGCAAGCCUGAUGCAGCCAUGCCGCGUGUAUGAAGAAGGCCUUCGGGUUGUAAAGUACUUUCAGCGGGGAGGAAGGGAGUAAAGUUAAUACCUUUGCUCAUUGACGUUACCCGCAGAAGAAGCACCGGCUACCUCCGU